UUCAAUUCCGGUCAAGGGCAUGUACCUUGGUUGCGGGCACAUCCCCAGUAGGGGGUGUGCAGGAGGCAGCUGGUCAAUGUUUUUCUCUCAUUGAUGUCUCUAACUCUCUAUCCCUCUCUCCUCCUCUCUAUAAAAAAAAAUCAAUAAAAUAUAUAUUUUUAAAAAUAAAACCAGGUCCAAGAGCCCAUGAAGCUUUGGCCUGGCCCCUUGAGAUGCUUGCUCUGGUGGGGAAGUCAGCCCGCACGUAAGAAAUUCAAUGCCUCCAUGCUGCACAGGCACCGGUAGGUGGUCCGGUUGACAGCCCCAGGCUCCGCCCAGCCGACAACCAGUAUCAGCUGCCAGAUGAGUGAGUGUGUCUUCUUGGAUAUCCAGCCCAGUCGAGCCUUCGGAUGAUGGCAGCCCCACCCAACAACUGCCUGGGAACCCCCCAGCGAGCCCUGCCCAGCCACGGGGUGACACCUGAGUUUCAGGAUGGCUGGCUGCUGAGCUCACAUGUACCUGGACAGUCAAGUUCCUGGUUCAAGUCCAAGAGGAAGGCAGGAACGUGGCCAGGUGCCUCAGGAGAAGGUUGGGCCAGGUGAGCUGGAACGCGUAGUCACUGGGCAUGGACACCGUCCUCUUCCUCUCACCCUGUGCUCUGGGCGGAUGGCGGGGCUCGAGGCUGCACACAGCUUUAUCCCUUCAGCAUGAUCCAGAGAGUGAGUCAGAGAGCGGUGUUUGGACACGGCUGCGAUCUAUCAUUUGGCUCAUGGAUUGGGAGAACUCUGUGUGCUCUUUCUUAAUAUCCUGAGUCUACCU
Myotis daubentonii (Daubenton's bat) is the source of this 798-nucleotide long non-coding RNA. RefSeq lists it as uncharacterized. Lineage: Eukaryota; Metazoa; Chordata; Mammalia; Chiroptera; Vespertilionidae. The record is from RefSeq and is a predicted model, not a curated record.